This is a non-coding RNA of Vitis vinifera (wine grape), 228 nucleotides long. The record is from RefSeq and is marked provisional. Lineage: Eukaryota; Viridiplantae; Streptophyta; Magnoliopsida; Vitales; Vitaceae.
UGCCUCACAAUGACAGAAGAGAGAGAGCAUGCUGGUGGGAAAACAAUUACAACUUUUGAUCAUCUGAUCUGGAAAUGCUUGUAAGCGGCAUUCUCUUGGAUUGUAAUCUGAAUUCUGCCUCUAUCAUCAACCUGCCCACAAACGAUUUCCUUCAACUGAGUGCCUUUCCGGCUUGAGCCUUCUGCAUGAUCAGCUGAGUUCUUUCUGCGCCUUUCAUUGUGUCCUGCC